RNAcentral lists this ribosomal RNA (547 nucleotides) under uncultured bacterium. RNAcentral describes it as "bacterial SSU rRNA". It matches the Rfam family "Bacterial small subunit ribosomal RNA", at positions 355 to 896 of the family's 1533-position model. The record is from RNAcentral.
UGGGGAAUAUUGCGCAAUGGGGGGAACCCUGACGCAGCCAUGCCGCGUGAAUGAAGAAGGCCUUAGGGUUGUAAAGUUCUUUCGGUAUUGAGGAAGGUUGAUGUGUUAAUAGCACAUCAAAUUGACGUUAAAUACAGAAGAAGCACCGACUAACUCCGUGCCAGCAGCCGCGGUAAUACGGAGGGUGCGAGCGUUAAUCGGAAUAACUGGGCGUAAAGGGCACGCAGGCGGUUAUUUAAGUGAGGUGUGAAAGCCCCGGGCUUAACCUGGGAAUUGCAUUUCAGACUGGGUAACUAGAGUACUUUAGGGAGGGGUAGAAUUCCACGUGUAGCGGUGAAAUGCGUAGAGAUGUGGAGGAAUACCGAAGGCGAAGGCAGCCCCUUGGGAAUGUACUGACGCUCAUGUGCGAAAGCGUGGGGAGCAAACAGGAUUAGAUACCCUGGUAGUCCACGCUGUAAACGCUGUCGAUUUGGGGGUUGGGGUUUAACUCUGGCGCCCGUAGCUAACGUGAUAAAUCGACCGCCUGGGGAGUACGGCCGCAAGGUUA